GGUCAAGCUACAAAGGGCAAACGGUGGAUGCCUUGGCGUCGGGAGGCGAUGAAGGACGUGGCUAGCUGCGAUAAGCCUCGGGGAGCCGCUCAACAGGCUUUGAUCCGGGGAUUUCCGAAUGGGGCAACCCGCUCCGAUUAAUAUCGGGGCAUCUGUGGCUGAAUACAUAGGCCAUAGAGGCGAACGAGGGGAACUGAAACAUCUUAGUACCCUCAGGAAAAGAAAGCAAUAGCGAUUCCCUUAGUAGUGGCGAGCGAAACGGGAACAGCCUAAACCGUAGUUGCUUCGGCAAGUACGGGGUUGCGGGACCACAAUGUGGGAUGCGGAUAGUUAGUUGAACAGGCUGGAAAGCCUGGCCAUAGAGAGUGAUAGCCUCGUAAGCAAAAACUUGAAGCACCCUAGUGGUAUCCCAAGUACCACGGGACACGGGAAAUCCUGUGGGAAUCCGGGAGGACCAUCUUCCAAGGCUAAAUACUACCUGACGACCGAUAGUGCACUAGUACCGUGAGGGAAAGGCGAAAAGAACCCCGGGAGGGGAGUGAAAUAGAACCUGAAACCGUUUGCUUACAAGCAGUGGGAGUCCGCCUUUGGCGGAUGACUGCGUGCCUUUUGUAUAAUGAGUCAGCGAGUUACUCUGUGUGGCAAGGUUAAGCCGUGAGGCGGAGCCGUAGCGAAAGCGAGUCUGAAAUGGGCGUAUUAGUCGCAUGGAGUAGACCCGAAGCCGAGUGAUCUAUCCAUGGGCAGGGUGAAGUCUCGGUAACACGAGAUGGAGGCCCGAACCAGUGUAGGUUGAAAACUGCUUGGAUGACCUGUGGAUAGGAGUGAAAGGCUAAUCAAACUCGGUGAUAGCUGGUUCUCCCCGAAAUAUAUUUAGGUAUAGCCUUGCAAGUUAAGUAACGGAGGUAGAGCACUGGAUGGGCUAGGGGUCUUACCGGACUACCAAACCUAACCAAACUCCGAAUGCCGUUAACUUUAAUUGCAGGAGUCAGACUACGGGUGAUAAGAUUCGUGGUCGAGAGGGAAACAACCCAGAUCGCCAGCUAAGGUCCCCAAAUAUGUGCUAAGUGGGAAAGGAUGUGGGAAUGCACAGACAACCAGGAGGUUGGCUUAGAAGCAGCCAUCCUUUAAAGAAAGCGUAAUAGCUCACUGGUCGAGUGAUCCUGCGCCGAAAAUUUAACGGGGCUCAAGCACAUUACCGAAGCUGCGGGAAUCGUUGGUCUGCGGACCGGCGGUUCGGUAGGGGAGCAUUCUGUUAACCUGUGAAGGUGCGCCGUGAGGCGUGCUGGAGGAGCCAGAAGAGAGUAUGCUGACACGAGUAGCGAAAAUGUGGGUGAGAAACCCACACGCCGUAAGCCUAAGGUUUCCUGGGUAAAGUUAAUCUGCUCAGGGUUAGUCGAUCCCUAAGCCGAGGCCGAAAGGCGUAGGUGAUGGAAAACAGGUUAAUAUUCCUGUACCAUCAAACUGGCGUUUGAGUGAAGGGGGGACGCAGAAGGGUAGGCCAUCCGGGUGUUGGACGUCCCGGUUUAAGCCUGUAGGUGGGGAUUCCAGGCAAAUCCGGAAUCCUGUUAACACUGAGGGGUGAUGACGAUCCGCCUUUGGCGGAACAAAGUGGCUAAUCCCAUGCUGCCAAGAAAAGCCUCGUAGCGAGUCAGUUUGGUGAUCGUACCGCAAACCGACACAGGUAGGCGGGGAGAGUAUCCCAAGGCGCUUGAGAGAACCCUGGUUAAGGAACUCGGCAAAAUGACACCGUAACUUCGGGAGAAGGUGUGCCCCCAUUAGGUGAAAAAAUUCACUUUUGGAGCCGAAGGGGGUCGCAGAGAAGUGGCGGGAGCGACUGUUUACUAAAAACACAGGACUCUGCGAAGUCGUAAGACGACGUAUAGGGUCUGACGCCUGCCCGGUGCUGGAAGGUUAAGGGGAUACGUUAUUUACUUUCGGGUAGAGAAGCGUUGAACCGAAGCCCCAGUAAACGGCGGCCGUAACUAUAACGGUCCUAAGGUAGCGAAAUUCCUUGUGGGGUAAGUUCCCACGCGCACGAAUGGUGUAACAACCUGAUCGCUGUCUCAACGUGAGACUCGGCGAAAUUGUAGUGGCGGUGAAGAUGCCGUCUACCCGCAUCAAGACGAAAAGACCCCAGAACCUUUACUGCAACCUGCUAUUGGGUUUUGGAUCAAUAUGUGUAGCAUAGGUGGGAGACUUUGAGGCCCAGGCGCUAGCUUGGGCAGAGUCGCAAUCUGAAAUACCACCCUUAUUGCUCUAAGAUUCUAACCCCUUGCCGUGAAACCGGCGGAGGGACAGUGACAGGCGGGCAGUUUGACUGGGGCGGUUCCCUUCUAAAAAGUAACGAAGGGGCCCCAAGGUUGGCUCAGGGCGGUCGGUAAUCGCCCGUGGAGCGUAAGCGCAUAAGCCAGCUUAACUGCGAGUCCGACAGGACGAGCAGAUACGAAAGUAGGGGCUAGUGAUCCGGUGGUUGAACGUGGAAUUGCCAUCGCUCAACGGAUAAUAGGUACUCUGGGGAUAACAGGCUUAUUGGACUCGAGAGUUCACAUCGACAGUCCAGUUUGGCACCUCGAUGUCGGCUCAUCCUAUCCUGGGGCUGUAUAAGGUCCCAAGGGUCCGGCUGUUCGCCGGUUAAAAGGGUACGCGAGCUGGGUUCAGAACGUCGUGAGACAGUAAACAAUGACCGUUGCUGUCUUUAAAUCUGGCUAAUUGCUGGAAACUCUGAGCAUGCCAUAUUACUACUUGACGAUUUAGUCUCUAUAUGUUACUAUAUCUCAAGGAGUGAAAAUAUAUGGACGCAGACAAUCAGCAGGAAAGGCCAAGAGAGAUAACAUCAUAUAUUUCAGGUUUUGUCGACGGAGAAGGUUGCUUUUCGAUAACAAUUCAAAAAAGCAACAAUGUGAAAUUAGGAAUUCAAAUAAUACCGGAAUUCCAUGUUUCACAGCACCAAAACAGAGCUGAAGUUUUAGAAGUGAUUAAGAGAGAGUUAGGCUGCGGAUAUAUUAAACCUAAUGAUUAUCGAAAUCCAAAGGAUCAAACUUCAGUUUAUGUUGUGCGAAAUAUAAAUGAUCUCCGUAAUAAAGUCAUACCUUUCUUUAAGAAAUCUCCGCUCAUCUCAAUUAAACAAAAAGAUUUUGAGAAAUUUGCUCGAGUCGUUAGUUUAAUGAGAGAUGGUGGGCAUUUAAGAAAGAAAAGUUUAAUUACGAUAUUAGAAAUUGCUUAUUCAAUGAAUUUCAGUGGUAAAUAUCGUAAACAAAAACUGGAAGAUAUAAUUUCUCACUUGGAAUCUUCAGAGACUAUACGCCAGAAGUCCUAUUUGAAAGAAUAAGGAUUAAGAUAUAGUCCGAACUGUGUAGCGAUAUACAGAGGUUAACAGAAAUGCUAACCCCUCUGUUCAAUUGAGCAGAGAGUAACAGUAUUGUCGGUCUCUAUCUGAUGUGGGCGUUAGGAUAUUUGAAGGGGAGUUCUCUUCAGUACGAGAGGACCUAGAGAAACAAACCUAUGGUUUUCCGGUUGUCCUGCCAAGGGCAAAGGCCGGGUAGCUAUGUUUGGAAGUGAUAAGCGCUGAAAGCAUCUAAGUGCCAAGCACCCCCCAAGACUAAGUAUCCCUGAGUCGCAAGACUCUGUAGGCUAGUGGUAGACUACCACUUUAAUAGGCGUAAAGUGUAAGAUCCGUAAGGAUUUCAGCUAAUACGUACUAAUCAGCCAAUAGGCUUGUCCUU
This 3722-nucleotide ribosomal RNA is filed under the name Deltaproteobacteria bacterium. RNAcentral describes it as "23S ribosomal RNA". It matches the Rfam family "Bacterial large subunit ribosomal RNA". Lineage: Bacteria; Pseudomonadati; Myxococcota; Myxococcia. The record is from RNAcentral.